Molecule: ribosomal RNA, 265 nt
Filed under: uncultured archaeon
Lineage: Archaea
Description: partial 16S ribosomal RNA
Rfam family: Archaeal small subunit ribosomal RNA
Source: RNAcentral
AGUCACUGACAUUAGAUACCCGCGUAGUCCCAGCCGUAAACAAUGUGCGUUAGGUGUGUCGGUAACCACGCGUUACUGAUGCGCCGAAGAGAAAUCGUGAAACGCACCACCUGGGAAGUACGGUCGCAAGGCUGAAACUUAAAGGAAUUGGCGGGGGAGCACCACAACAGGUGGAGCCUGCGGUUUAGUUGGAUUCAACGCCGGACAUCUCACCGGAUAAGACAGCUGAAUGAUUGUCAAUCUGAAGGUUUUACAUGACUAGCUG